This 452-nucleotide ribosomal RNA is filed under the name uncultured bacterium. RNAcentral describes it as "bacterial SSU rRNA". It matches the Rfam family "Bacterial small subunit ribosomal RNA", at positions 340 to 786 of the family's 1533-position model. The record is from RNAcentral.
UACGGAAGGCAGCAGUGGGGAAUAUUGCACAAUGGGCGCAAGCCUGAUGCAGCCAUGCCGCGUGUAUGAAGAAGGCCUUCGGGUUGUAAAGUACUUUCAGCGGGGAGGAAGGCGAUGCGGUUAAUAACCGCGUCGAUUGACGUUACCCGCAGAAGAAGCACCGGCUAACUCCGUGCCAGCAGCCGCGGUAAUACGGAGGGUGCAAGCGUUAAUCGGAAUUACUGGGCGUAAAGCGCACGCAGGCGGUCUGUUAAGUCAGAUGUGAAAUCCCCCGGGCUUAACCUGGGAACUGCAUUUUGAACUGGCAGGCUUGAGUCUUGUAGAGGGGGUAGAAUUCCAGGUGUAGCGGUGAAAUGCGUAGAGAUCUGGAGGAAUCCGGUGGCGAAGGCGGCCCCUGGGACAAGACUGACGCUCAGGUGCGAAAGCGUGGGGAGCAAACAGGAUUAGAUACC